This 520-nucleotide unclassified non-coding RNA is filed under the name uncultured Glomus. Its description in RNAcentral is "SSU rRNA". It matches the Rfam family "Eukaryotic small subunit ribosomal RNA", at positions 569 to 1091 of the family's 1831-position model. Lineage: Eukaryota; Fungi; Glomeromycota; Glomeromycetes; Glomerales; Glomeraceae. The record is from RNAcentral.
AGCAGCCGCGGUAAUUCCAGCUCCAAUAGCGUAUAUUAAAGUUGUUGCAGUUAAAAAGCUCGUAGUUGAAUUUCGGGAUCAAUACGUCGGUCGUGCUUAGGUACGUACUGGCGUAAUUGAUUUCUCCCUUCUGACGAACCAUGAUGUCAUUAACUUGGUGUCAUGGGAAAUCAGGACUGUUACUUUGAAAAAUUAGAGUGUUUAAAGCAGGCUCACGCUUGAAUACAUUAGCAUGGAAUAAUGAAAUAGGACGUUCGAUCCUAUUUUGUUGGUUUUUAGGAUCAACGUAAUGAUUAAUAGGGAUAGUUGGGGGCAUUAGUAUUCAAUUGUCAGAGGUGAAAUUCUUGGAUUUAUUGAAGACUAACUACUGCGAAAGCAUUUGCCAAGGAUGUUUUCAUUAAUCAAGAACGAAAGUUAGGGGAUCGAAGACGAUCAGAUACCGUCGUAGUCUUAACCAUAAACUAUGCCGACUAGGGAUCGGAUGAUGUUAAUUUUUUAAUGUACUCAUUCGGCGCCUUAA